Cynoglossus semilaevis (tongue sole) is the source of this 498-nucleotide long non-coding RNA. RefSeq lists it as uncharacterized. NCBI's taxonomy places the organism in Eukaryota, Metazoa, Chordata, Actinopteri, Pleuronectiformes, Cynoglossidae. The transcript is spliced from 3 exons. The record is from RefSeq and is a predicted model, not a curated record.
AGAGAGAGAGAGAGAGAGAGAGAGAGAGAGGUCGCCACACGCACUCAGAAAAAACACGUAUAGAAAAUCCGAAAGGAACUUUUCCGUGUUUUCCCCUCAUUUUUAUCACACUUUCCCUUCGUGUCGUGUGAACAACGUUGUAUGGAAUUUACAGCAAUGAAGUAACGUCGAGGGAAGCGCCACGUCCCCGGGGACCCAAGUGAGGAAGAGCCGGAGAAGAGAGAGGUCUGUGCUGCUGAUGUUGUCCUCACUCACGUCUGUUCUUCAUUAAUACAUUUCCCAUGGAGCCGUGCACCGACACUCACGCUGUUCAGCCAUGGAGACAUCAGUCAGGUUUUUGGACCCAGAGAUCCAGUGAGACGGAUGAGGACCUGAUAUUGUGAUAUCAACCCCUGUCCCAGUGUAGGACCUCCACAGACCACCGCAGACCUCCGCAGACCUCCACAGACCUCCUGAUUCAACAGUACCUACUGUGGACUACAGACCUUUAUCAGGAAU